Molecule: unclassified non-coding RNA, 247 nt
Filed under: Hevea brasiliensis (rubber tree)
Lineage: Eukaryota; Viridiplantae; Streptophyta; Magnoliopsida; Malpighiales; Euphorbiaceae
Source: RNAcentral
AAGGAAGCAAAAAAAGCUGCAGCUUUGGCUGCUGGAGCUGACUGGAAAAGUGACGAUUCGGACAGUGAGUUUCCUGAGGAGCACGUAUACCGGGAGCCUCCACUACCAGAUCUUCUAAAAGACGAGGAACACCUGUGCCUUAUUGUAGAUCUCUGCAAGGCUUUAAUAUCCUUGCAAAGGUAUUGGGAUGCACUUGAGAUCAUUAAUCUGUGUCUAAAAUUGGCAUCCAGCACAUUGUCUGUUGAGG